This 207-nucleotide long non-coding RNA is filed under the name Lathyrus oleraceus (garden pea). RNAcentral's name for it is "Pisum sativum (pea) long non-coding RNA (PSAT_LNC030035)". The record is from RNAcentral. Lineage: Eukaryota; Viridiplantae; Streptophyta; Magnoliopsida; Fabales; Fabaceae.
UUUUUAAUUAUUUUUUGCUUUUAAAAUUUAUAGUAAUUCCAUUUUUCAUCCAAAAUAUCCCAAAAUAAUUUCUAAAAUUCUCUUUUAUUUUUCUUCAUCUGAUUUUUAUUUUUCACAUUUUAUUUCACUAAUUUUCUAUUUUUCAUGAAUUUUCUAUUUUCUUAUUUGUUUUAAUUGGUUUAAAAAUACUUUUCUGCAUUUGUAAAU